RNAcentral lists this ribosomal RNA (253 nucleotides) under uncultured bacterium. RNAcentral's name for it is "partial 16S ribosomal RNA". It matches the Rfam family "Bacterial small subunit ribosomal RNA", at positions 524 to 776 of the family's 1533-position model. The record is from RNAcentral.
UACGGGGGGGGCAAGCGUUGUUCGGAAUUACUGGGCGUAAAGGGCGCGUAGGCGGCCUGCUAAGUCGGAUGUGAAAUCCCUCGGCUCAACCGAGGAACUGCAUCCGAUACUGGCGGGCUUGAAUCCGGGAGAGGGAUGUGGAAUUCCAGGUGUAGCGGUGAAAUGCGUAGAUAUCAGGAGGAACACCGGUGGCGAAGGCGGUUCUCUGGGCCUGUACUGACGCUGAGAAGCGAAAGCAUGGGGAGCGAACAGG